GAUGAACGCUGGCGGCGUGCCUAAUACAUGCAAGUCGAGCGAACGGACGAGACUUUUGCUGGUUGGAUGUUAGCCGAGGACGGGUGUGUAACGUGUGGAAAACGUACCUAUAAGAGGGGGAUAAUCUCGGGAAACGGGAGCUAACCCGGGAGAAGCUUUUGAAGCGCGUGGGUCAAAAGUGAAAUACGGUCGUUCGGGCAGUUAUCGAGGGUUCCGAGCUGCAUUGGCUAGUAGGUAAGGUAACGGCUUACUACGGCAAGGAGGCAUAGCCGACCGGAUUGGGUGGUCGGCCGCACUGGAACUGAGCCGCGGACCAUACUCCUACGGUAGGCAGCAGUCGCGAAUCUUCCGCAAUGGGCGAAAGCCUGACGGAGCGACGCGGCGCGAGUGACGAAGGUCCUCGGUUCGUGAAACUCUGUUUUUGGUUGUAAACCUAUGUGUAAGUAACUGUGCCGAUAUUGACGGUACCUGGUCAAAAAGCCACGGCUAACUACGUG
Molecule: ribosomal RNA, 497 nt
Filed under: uncultured bacterium
Lineage: Bacteria
Description: partial 16S ribosomal RNA
Rfam family: Bacterial small subunit ribosomal RNA
Source: RNAcentral